UACGGAGGGUGCAAGCGUUGUCCGGAAUCACUGGGCGUAAAGGGCGCGUAGGCGGCCUGGUAAGUAGGGGGUGAAAUCCUGCGGCUUAACCGCAGGGCUGCCUUCUAAACUGUCAGGCUUGAGCACGGUAGAGGCAGAUGGAAUUCCCGGUGUAGCGGUGGAAUGCGUAGAGAUCGGGAGGAACACCGGUGGCGAAGGCGGGUCUCUGGGCAAUUCCUGACGCUGAGGCGCGAAAGCGUGGGGAGCAAACGGG
Molecule: ribosomal RNA, 253 nt
Filed under: uncultured bacterium
Lineage: Bacteria
Description: partial 16S ribosomal RNA
Rfam family: Bacterial small subunit ribosomal RNA
Source: RNAcentral